GCAGCCGCCGCGGUAAUACGUAGGUCCCGAGCGUUGUCCGGAUUUAUUGGGCGUAAAGCGAGCGCAGGCGGUUAGAUAAGUCUGAAGUUAAAGGCUGUGGCUUAACCAUAGCACGCUUUGGAAACUGUUUAACUUGAGUGCAAGAGGGGAGAGUGGAAUUCCAUGUGUAGCGGUGAAAUGCGUAGAUAUAUGGAGGAACACCGGUGGCGAAAGCGGCUCUCUGGCUUGUAACUGACGCUGAGGCCCGAAAGCGUGGGGAGCAAACAGGAUUAGAUUCCCCUGUAGUCCCUGUCUCUUAUACA
This 302-nucleotide ribosomal RNA is filed under the name uncultured bacterium. RNAcentral's name for it is "partial 16S ribosomal RNA". It matches the Rfam family "Bacterial small subunit ribosomal RNA", at positions 508 to 808 of the family's 1533-position model. The record is from RNAcentral.